UAAAGUUUUCAUUUACGUUUU
This 21-nucleotide non-coding RNA is filed under the name Caenorhabditis elegans. Lineage: Eukaryota; Metazoa; Nematoda; Chromadorea; Rhabditida; Rhabditidae. The record is from RNAcentral.